This 133-nucleotide small nucleolar RNA is filed under the name Necator americanus (New World hookworm). RNAcentral describes it as "Nematode snoRNA ceN47". It matches the Rfam family "Nematode snoRNA ceN47". Lineage: Eukaryota; Metazoa; Nematoda; Chromadorea; Rhabditida; Ancylostomatidae. The record is from Rfam by way of RNAcentral.
CUGCUAAUGAUGAGAAAAUCAUCCUUGCUCUGCGAGCUGCGUGUGGAAUUCGAUGAAACCAGUUAUCACCGGGGUAUCUGGUCAAAUUCGGAGAUAACGCUGCAGCGGUGAACAGCGUUGGCCUCUGAAGCAG